GAUGAAGAACGCAGCGAAAUGCGAUAAGUAGUGUGAAUUGCAGAAUUCAGUGAAUCAUCGAAUCUUUGAACGCACAUUGCGCCCCUUGGUAUUCCAUGGGGCAUGCCUGUUCGAGCAUCAUUUGUACCUUCAAGCCUUGCUUGGUGUUGGGUGUUUGUCUCGCCUCUGCGCGCAGACUCGCCUCAAAACAAUUGGCAGCCGGCGUAUUGAUUUCGGAGCGCAGUACAUCUCGCGCUUUGCACUCAGAACGACGACGUCCAAAAGUACAUUUUUACACUCUUGACCUCGGAUCAGGUAGGGAUACCCGCUGAACUUAAGCAUAUCAAUAAGCGGAGGA
Molecule: unclassified non-coding RNA, 337 nt
Filed under: soil metagenome
Description: partial contains 5.8S ribosomal RNA, internal transcribed spacer 2, and large subunit ribosomal RNA
Rfam family: 5.8S ribosomal RNA (bases 1-120)
Source: RNAcentral